Molecule: long non-coding RNA, 3380 nt
Filed under: Ananas comosus (pineapple)
Lineage: Eukaryota; Viridiplantae; Streptophyta; Magnoliopsida; Poales; Bromeliaceae
Description: long non-coding RNA (ACOM_LNC019161)
Source: RNAcentral
UAUUUUAAAUCUCACAUUUUUAUCUGUAUUUAUUUAUUUUGUUUCAAAUGAUCCCAAUGUUAAAAUUACACGUAUGAUCGGGCCGAACCUGGUCGACCCAAUAAAAAUAAGAAGAGACCCAAAUCCGACCCAAAAUCCAAUCUGACUGGGCCUACCCAAGGUCCCAAGUCCGAAUAAUUAACAUUUCCAGCUAAGUUUAUUUCUAAAUAAAAUAAACGAAACGGAUAGCGUACUAUCUAUCUCUCUGAAGAAAAAAAAAAAAAAAAAAAAAAAAGUCCAAUCCGACUGGGCCUACCAUCCAACAGCUUGCUCAGCUCGAAAUUCUGUAAAAACUUUAUUUGACUGUCCCAAUAAAAUAUCCAAUAAUAUUUCAUCGAGAAUAUAUGUUUUUUAAAAAAUCCAGAUAUUAUAUUUUACACACUAUUAGUGAUUGUAUCUUUUUUUCAUAGAAAAUAAGGAAUAAGAUAAAUCGUUCUGAUCGGACAUAUCUCAGCCGUUGAAUUUAUCUCUGCGUCGGCAUCAUUCCACUAGGUUUCACGCGAUUUCAAAGCUAGUCUCCAUCUCCUUAUCAGUUGGGUUUGUGUCUCUUCAUUUGCCCAAUUUAUAAUUUUAUAUAUCGAUUCUUAUGCAUGAUUACUAAUGCUGGGGAAUUUAGAAUUCCAGUUUUUGCCCACCAGGUGUUUGUUGUGGUUCUUGCUUGGAAAUUAAAUAAAACUCUUCUCAUGUACUAAGCUUUGUUGUAGCUUGAACAUAUAUUAUGUAUAUGAUCCUUAUAACUCUUCGCUGCUGAAUCAUUACUUUUUCUUUCUCAAAUUGAAUAAUCCAAAAUGGGUUUUCCUCGCCAUCUCAAUCAUGUACCCAAAACAACUACGAAAGGUGCAUUUUUUGGCUCCUACGGUGGUGUUCGCAAUGUGUUCGAUGAAAUGCCCCAGAGAAGUUAUACAUCUUUCGCCAAGCGAACACACGAUGAUAUUGGAUACAGGAACAAGUUUUAUAACCCCAGGCUUCGACCAGGCUUUUAUAGAUCCGCCCAUAGCGUCGCAGAUCCCCAAUUCGUCGUAGUUCCGAACACCCGUGAAGAAACUCCCGUUUCCGACUCCAUUCGGGUCUCAAAAGACGCCGAAAAGAUCUGCCGAAUACUCUUGACAAAGACUGGUUCCAGCGUCGAGUCUUCACUCGAUGACUCCGGAGUAGCGGUGUCGCCGGCUCUUGUAGAGGAAACUCUUAAGAGGUUGAGUAAUGCGGGAAUGCUUGCGCUUGCCUUCUUUCGUUGGGCCGAGAAGAGGAAUGGUUUUAUGUAUACGACCGACAGCUUUCACUAUCUGAUCGAAGCGCUUGGAAAGAUCAAGCAGUUCAGGUUGAUUUGGAGCUUGGUGGAUUUUAUGAGACUGCGAGGUUUGGUGACAAAAGAGACCUUUGCAUUGGUUAUACGGAGGUAUGCGAGAGCGAGAAAGAUCAAGGAAGCUAUUGAAACUUUUGAAAAGAUGGGGAAUUUUGGGUUGAGGCCUGAGCUAUCAGAUUAUAAUCGUUUGAUCGAUACGAUUAGUAAGUCGAAGCAAGUUAAGAGGGCGCAGGAGCUAUUCGAUGAAAUGAAGAGGAGGAAAAAGUUCAUGCCCAACUUGAAAACUUACACGAUUCUACUCGAAGGUUGGGGCCAAGAGCGCAACUUAACAAAGCUUAAGAAAGUUUACAAGGAAAUGAUAGAUGAAGGAUUCGAGCCUGACGUCGUUACAUAUGGAAUUCUAAUUAAUGCCUUUUGUAAGUCUGAAAUGUGUGAUGAGGCAAUAAGGAUAUACAACGAGAUGGCGGCGAGUAAUUGUGAACCGACUCCUCAUAUCUACUGCACUCUAAUUAACGGGCUUGGUUCGGAGAAACGAUUAGGUGAAGCUUUGAAGUAUUUUGAGCUAUCUAAAGCUAGUGGGUUUACACCCGAGGUGCCCACUUAUAAUGCAGUUGUGGGCUCUUACUGUGGGGCCGCGAGAUUUGAUGAUGCUUUUGCAGUAGUGAAUGAGAUGAAGAGAAUUGGAAUCGGCCCAAAUUCCCGUACUUAUGACAUAAUUAUCCAUCACUUGAUCAGGGCAGGGAAGGCCGAAGAGGCAUACCGGGUUUUUCAGACAAUGGAGAAGGAUGAGGACUGUUGCCGGCCCCAGCUUAAUACAUAUACUAUGAUGGUCACUUUGUUUUGCAGUAAUGAAAGAGUAGAUAUGGCUUUGAAAAUGUGGAAGCAAAUGAGCGAGAAGGGGAUCGUUCCUUGCAUGCAUAUGUUCUCGUCGUUGAUUAAUGGGCUGUGCUAUGAGAAUAGAUUGGAUGAGGCUUGUCGGUAUUUCCAAGAGAUGCUGGACAAAGGGAUAAGGCCGCCGGGGCAGUUGUUUAGUAAAUUAAAGGAAGCACUAGUUGACGGUAGUAGAAAGGAUUUGGCUAUUGAGAUGAGCUUGAAGUUGGAUAGGUUAAGAAACAAUCCUUUGGAUGAUUAACUACAGUGAGAUCAAGUGAUAGUAAUUUUCAUAACUUUUAAUGCAAACUACAUGGUUGUUUAUAUACUUUCGCAAAGACGCGUGAGAUGUAACAAGAAAUGGAACAAUGUCAGAUCAAUUGUGAGGGCACGCAAGAUGCUGAGGUUUGUAACGAAGGGCGCAGAAUGGUGUAUUUAUUGUGUUGUUAAGUGUUGGUAUGAAGAAACAUUAAAAUUUUGCUUUCGUUGUCCCGCUUACUUGUUUAAACUUGAAUUUCUACCAAGUGGACUUAGAAUCAUCUUAUGAUUUUACCUAACAAAGUGAUUCAUGUUUCGGCAUCUGGUUUCAUUUUGGUCAAUACAUUACCUGGAGAUGUUCUUUACAUACAGUGUAUGAACUCCGACGCCAUUUUGAUGCAUUUAAUAUCAUGGACAGCUUUAUUUUGUAUCAGAUUUUCUUCAGUAUAAGCCUUAUAAUGCUUUGGGAUAUAUUAUGUCAACUUUCCUCUGCCUCUUAUUAGUAGUUGUGGUAUCAACCGAGUGUGGUGCUUUUUUCUUUUUUUUUUUUAACCUUCAUGCCAACUGUGCUAUGAUUUGGGAUUUCAGAUUAUGGAUAAUGUAUGUUAAGGGAAUAUAAAAAAGAUUUGUGUUUGUUUAGUUUGAUGCCAUAUCCCUUUUCUUAUUUUAAACUCAAAUGCAUAUGCUUUUAAGUAGGUUAAAGAUUUUUUUUUUUUUUUGAGAGAGAUAGCACGCUACCCGCUUUGUUUAUUUCAUUUAGAAAUAAACUUAACUGGAAAUGUGAAUCAACUAGCAUUCGAACUUGGGUCUCGGUACCAACCACCAAAUCCUUUUGCCACUUGCGCUAGAGACGGUGGAUAAGGUUAAGGAAUGUUAAAAGCGUACUUUUAGGUGUAUCCAUUUUCUCUUU